Long non-coding RNA from Raphanus sativus (radish), 894 nucleotides. RefSeq lists it as uncharacterized. NCBI's taxonomy places the organism in Eukaryota, Viridiplantae, Streptophyta, Magnoliopsida, Brassicales, Brassicaceae. The record is from RefSeq and is a predicted model, not a curated record. The transcript is spliced from 2 exons.
UUAAUUCUUCUAAUCACAACCACACAAAGAUAUGGUUUAUCUCAGUUUUUAAAGGUUAUCUCUUUACCUUCGGUAUUAUCAACUCUGAUGUUUUAGUUGACGGCCACAAUGACUUCAACAAGCAAAAAAUCCUUCUCUCAUUCAUCCUUUCAUGCAUAUUUGAGAUUCGACGAACCCACCACAGUUCUGUUCGCAGAAUUUUAAUCCGAGAGGUACUCAACCAAUGUCACUAUCACAAGUUUCUUUUUCUUUCUCGUCUCAGUCAACUCCACCUUGUCCUCCCUGAAAAUCUCCGGUCGUCUUUUCCCCCUCACUUGCCACUGUUCUCCGACAGUAUAUGUUUGAUUACCACUUUAAACUAUAUUUAACCCACACGUCCACCACUACUCUUCUUUUAUUAUCAUCUCUGUCUCAGCCGUGUUGUCUCCACCAGUUCGUUUAAUGCUCCAGUGAAAGAUAAAAAUGAAGAUUUUGGAGAGAGUUGAAUAGAAACCUGUUUGUUAGGACACAUGUAAAAUAAUAACGAAGUAAAAAACAUGGGCAGUUCGUAGAAGAACCUCAUCAGUGUACACAUGGAUAGUUCGUUGAAGAAUUGAAGAAUCGCAUCAGUGUACACAUGGAUAUGAGUGUACACAUAUAUGGAUAUGUCUAGACAGCGUAAAUGUGAACAUGUUAAGAUAGUGUACAACCUGCGUGUAGGUCUGUUGGGAUUGGAAAGUCCCGGUGCUGUAGUUAACUCUUUUCUAAGGUUGUGGCUGUUGGGCUUUAGCUGAAGUUCAAUAUAUUUUUAAGUAAACCAAAAAAGUAAAAACUCUCAUGAAGUAUGUACACCGAUUUUUCUACUAUCCAUAUAUGUACACUGAUUUUUCUGUCUGUAUAUAAAAUUUCACAAUA